Non-coding RNA from Acanthosepion pharaonis, 110 nucleotides. The record is from the annotation of a GenBank genome assembly. NCBI's taxonomy places the organism in Eukaryota, Metazoa, Mollusca, Cephalopoda, Sepiida, Sepiidae.
GGUCAUAUGAUAUUCAAACACUGGUUCCUGUAUGAGCAUUGAAGUUAAGCAACAUUGAGCCUGGUCUGUACCUAAAUGGGUGACUGAUUGGGAAUACCAGGUGCUGCAGU